Molecule: long non-coding RNA, 1490 nt
Organism: Dicentrarchus labrax (European seabass)
Lineage: Eukaryota; Metazoa; Chordata; Actinopteri; Moronidae
Exons: 2
Source: RefSeq, a predicted model, not a curated record
GAUUUAACUACAUGGUCUUCCUCAGCAGAUAGAGUUCACCCAGUUGUGAUGGAAUAGAAGCCAACAUGUACAAGAAGUUCUAAAAAUGCUCACAGAAAUGGGAAUUCGAACAACUACAAUUGAAUGACAACCGGGAGACUCCAUCCGCUGAAGAAGCUCAUGUGAUAUGAUUUACAGUUCCAGUUAGUGGAUGGAUGUUCCACAAAUAUUUUUUAAAAUUGUUUUCAAGGAUGAAGUUGAAGAAUCUGUACUCCAGUAUAAAUCAGAGGUCAAAGGUCAAAAUCAAGAAUUUUCUCAUUCAUUCUCCCUGGGAACAUGGGAUUUUGAAAGAAGCUGUGAUGGAGAAUGUAAUUCGAUUUACUGUGAGAUUAUUCUUUUGUCAAUUUUAAUAAAUGUUUAUUGUGUGUGUGUGUGUGUGUGUGUGUGUGUGUGUGUGUGUGUGUGUGUGUGUGUGUGUGUGUGUGUGUGUGUCCUCAGUGAAGUGUAUCAGUCUCUGCAGUAGCUUCCAGCUGCAGCAGUCAGUUCAGUUUCUGUUCAGUCUGACUGAGGGAGGUUUUUGUACGACGCUUUUUCACUGUGUGAACACAUGCUGACUGUUGAUAUAGUGAAAACUCUGACAGUAGUAAACUGCUGCAUCUUCAGUCUGGACUCCACUGAUGGUCAGAGUGAAGUCAGAGUUUGAUCCACUGCCUGUAAAACGACCUGGAAUCCCUGAUGCUCGAGUGCUAGCAGCAUAAAUGAGCAGUUUAGGAGUUUCUCCAUCUCUCUGUUGGUACCAAGCUAAAUAGUGGUAGCUGCUCCAAGUAUAAACCUUAGGACUGGUCCUACAUGUGAUGGUGACUGAGCCUCCCAGAGCAGAGCUCACUGCUCCAGACUGAGUCACUGUGUACUGGCCUCUGGACUCUGAGGAUACAGAGACAAAAACAUAAAGCAGCGUCAUGGUUUUGUGGGCUUCAUUUCAGAGGGACGGAUGUUCAUAGAGGAGAGGAGUUUGAUUCUCUGGACUUUACCUGUGAAGCAGCAGCAGAGGAGAGUCCAGAUGAGGAUGGAGAUCAAAGUCAUGUUUUUGAUGAGGAGGAUUUCUGUGUCUUCUGUUGUCAUGAAGGACAGCUGUCAGUCAUCCAGUGUUCAACUCUCAGGACUAUAAACUCUCCCAGAGCACUGGAGCAUGGUGCUGCUGAUGCAAAGUGGCUCUCUAUGGAAAUGCUCUGACUGACUCCAACAGGGACUUGGAUUCCUCUCAUGAUGCUGUUUAUCAACGGAUCAAUCACUUUAUCAGAGUAUUGAUUAGGAAUGUGUCAGUGCUCAUUUGUAUGAGGCUUUGCUUUCAGUUUGAUGGACACAUUUUCUUCCAGAAUAUUUAGUGGAUUCCCCCUAAUUCACUACCACACAGAUCAACAUCACUGUGGGACACAUUUAAACAAAUAUAUUAUCUAUUAUUUAUUUUAUAUUCAUCAUAAUAUACAAUAAACAUAUGUUUAUGAUCAUUA